This 218-nucleotide transfer RNA is filed under the name Marmota monax (woodchuck). RNAcentral describes it as "tRNA.Ala". Lineage: Eukaryota; Metazoa; Chordata; Mammalia; Rodentia; Sciuridae. The record is from RNAcentral.
GGUUUGUAGCUCAGUGGUAGAGCACUUGCUUAGCAUGUGUGAGGCACUGAGUUUAAUUUUUAGCACCACAUAUAAAAAAUAAAAAAUAAAUAAAAAUAAAGGUCCAUCAACAACUAAAAUAUAUAUAUUUUUAAAAAGUAGGUGAGCUGGGGAUAUAUCUCAGUUGGUAGAGUGCUUACCUCACAUACACAAGGGCCUGGGUUUGAUCCCCAGCACCA